UCCCAUUCGACACGGGCAGUCCGACUAGAGUGCCCUCUUUCGAGGUUGCAACUAGCCGCAAGGGUUUCGCUCGUUACGGGACUUAACCCAACAUCUCACGACACGAGCUGACGACAGCCAUGCAACACCUGAUGAAGGCUCUUCUUUCGAAGUCGUUACCGUUUCCGGUUCCUACUACCCUCACUUCAAGCCCGGGUAAGGUUCUUCGCGUUGCAUCGAAUUGAACCACAUGCUCCACCGCUUGUGCGAGCCCCCGUCAAUUCCUUUGAGUUUUAACCUUGCGGCCGUACUCCCCAGGCGGGACACUUAACGCGUUAGCUGCAGCAAAGAAGGGCAAGCCCUCCUUCACUCAGUGUCCAUCGUUUACGGCUGGGACUAC
This 379-nucleotide unclassified non-coding RNA is filed under the name uncultured Planctomycetota bacterium. Its description in RNAcentral is "uncultured planctomycete contains 16S-23S intergenic spacer region". Lineage: Bacteria; Pseudomonadati; Planctomycetota. The record is from RNAcentral.